GACGAACGCUGGCGGCGUGCUUAACACAUGCAAGUCGAACGGAAAGGCUCCAGCUUGCUGGAGUACUCGAGUGGCGAACGGGUGAGUAACACGUGGGUGAUCUGCCCUGCACUUCGGGAUAAGCCUGGGAAACUGGGUCUAAUACCGGAUAGGACCGCACUUUGGUGUGUGUGGUGGAAAGGUUUUUCUGGUGUGGGAUGAGCUCGCGGCCUAUCAGUUUGUUGGUGGGGUAAUGGCCUACCAAGACGGCGACGGGUAGCCGGCCUGAGAGGGUGGACGGUCACAUUGGGACUGAGAUACGGCCCAGACUCCUACGGGAGGCGGCAGUGGGGAAUAUUGCACAAUGGGGGAAACCCUGAUGCAGCGACGCCGCGUGGGGGAUGAAGGCCUUCGGGUUGUAAACUCCUUUCGCUAGGGACGAAGCUUUUUGUGACGGUACCUGGAGAAGAAGCACCGGCUAACUACGUG
RNAcentral lists this ribosomal RNA (468 nucleotides) under uncultured bacterium. RNAcentral's name for it is "partial 16S ribosomal RNA". It matches the Rfam family "Bacterial small subunit ribosomal RNA", at positions 28 to 507 of the family's 1533-position model. The record is from RNAcentral.